This 497-nucleotide ribosomal RNA is filed under the name uncultured bacterium. RNAcentral describes it as "partial 16S ribosomal RNA". It matches the Rfam family "Bacterial small subunit ribosomal RNA", at positions 28 to 507 of the family's 1533-position model. The record is from RNAcentral.
GAUGAACGCUGGCGGCGUGCCUAAUACAUGCAAGUCGAGCGAACGGACGAGAAGCUUGCUUCUCUGAUGUUAGCGGCGGACGGGUGAGUAACACGUGGAUAACCUACCUAUAAGACUGGGAUAACUUCGGGAAACCGGAGCUAAUACCGGAUAAUAUUUUGAACCGCAUGGUUCAAAAGUGAAAGACGGUCUUGCUGUCACUUAUAGAUGGAUCCGCGCUACAUUAGCUAGUUGGUAAGGUAACGGCUUACCAAGGCAACGAUGCAUAGCCGACCUGAGAGGUUGAGCGGCCACACGGGAACUGAGACACGGUCCAGACGCCUACGGGAGGCAGCAGCAGGGAAUCUUCCGCAAUGGGCGAAAGACUGAAGGAGCAACGCAGCGUGAGUGAUGAAGGUCUUCGGAUCGUAAAACUCUGUUAUUAGGGAAGAACAAAUGUGUAAGUAACUGUGCACAUCUUGACGGUACCUAAUCAGAAAGCCACGGCUAACUACGUG